UACAGAGGUCUCGAGCGUUGUUCGGAUUCAUUGGGCGUAAAGGGCGCGUAGGCGGCGGGGUAAGUCUGGUGUGAAAUCUCGGAGCUCAACUCCGAAAUUGCACUGGAUACUGCUCUGCUAGAGGGCUGGAGAGGAGAUCGGAAUUCACGGUGUAGCAGUGAAAUGCGUAGAGAUGUGGAGGAACACCAGUGGCGAAGGCGACUCUUUGGUCUGUAACUGACGCUGAGGCGCGAAAGCGUGGGGAGCAAACAGG
Molecule: ribosomal RNA, 253 nt
Filed under: uncultured bacterium
Lineage: Bacteria
Description: partial 16S ribosomal RNA
Rfam family: Bacterial small subunit ribosomal RNA
Source: RNAcentral